Non-coding RNA from Cicer arietinum (chickpea), 1697 nucleotides. The record is from RefSeq and is a predicted model, not a curated record. Lineage: Eukaryota; Viridiplantae; Streptophyta; Magnoliopsida; Fabales; Fabaceae.
CACUGAAAGCAUAGAUUGAAAAUAAAACAUAAAGAACUUAGACACAAACAAAAACGGGAGAAGAAAAACACAAUAAUCUUAUACAAGUUUACAACAACUAUUGUUACAUCUAGUACUCCCUUUUUAGAGAUAUAUAUCUCAAGUACAAUUAGAGACAUAUAUAAUCCACCAAAGUAUUUUUAAAUCCACCUUUUUAGGCUUUGAUUAGGCUUAAAGCAUCUCGAAACUAAGUAUUGUUUCCUUGUUUCACCGAACAUUAAGUAUUAUUAUAAAGCCUCUUCAAUCCCUCUAUAUUAUGAUGCCUCAGAAGGCAUACAAAAGUUCAAUCUCUAGUGUUUCUCAAAACGGCUCGAUUCACGCACUUAUUGAGUUUAAUAUUCUUACUCUACCUCUCCAUUAUAAAUAUUAUUCAAGGGUUAUUAAGAACAAUAAUAAUUAAGGUCUCCAAAUUUUCUCAAGGAUCCUGAUAUCACUCGCCUCUUGAGUUGAGUUUGUAAAGUGCCUCUUCAGACUAGUAUUCUUCUAAUCAACUCUUUAGACAAUCAAGAAGUAUUAUCACCUUAAAUUAAGCAUUUUUCUAACCGCCUCUCCAACAUACCAACUAGAAACCUUCUACUCUUCUUAAUAGAUUUAUUUUUAUUAAUUUCCUAUGAAAAACUGGCGAAGUAUGGAAUUAAAAAAAUUUAUGUAGUUAAAAUAUUUUGGCAACUUGCACCACUGUUAAAUUUAAAAACAACUCAGAAUUUGACGAAAUUUUUUAUGAGUUAUUAGGUUGGUUGGGAUUUGUUUUUUAUGUCUGAGAGAUAUUUUUGUGAGUGAAGAAUAUGAACUUUGAAUAUUUUAAUAAUCAAAUAAUUUUUGUUGUAAAAAUAAUUAUUUGACAUUAGUCGUUUGUAACUCAUUUUCAGUAAUUGAACAUACUAUUAGUUGAAGGGAUUGACACAUUUUUUUAGUUGAGAAGUGAAUGAUUUGAUGAUGAUUAAGUGUGUACAUGAUAAUAGUGAGGGUUUUGGAUAAAAUUUGAGUGAGUAUGAUUAAUUUAGAUUUAAGAGAUUAAGUUAAUUAAGGAAGGAGAAGAAAAAUAUCUACCUCUUCCAUUGUAUACCCACCAGCAAAGACACAUACACACACCACUCUAACUUUUUUUCUUUUCUCCUUCAUAUCUCUAAACACAAACCCUCAAUAAGAAGAAGAAUCUCCCUUUUAAAACUAGAUCAAAUAUCACAAUCAAGAAGUUGUAGGAAGAAAAGUUCUUCUUUCCAACUCGGUUGUUCUUAUGAGCUAACAAACUUGAGAUUUGUCUUGUGAGAUCCUGUCGGCUACUCUGAGAGUUGUUGCAGAGCAAACUUAGAAGAUUCUCCAUAGCAGUGAGUUGACGUAUGAGUUAAAGUAUUUAAAUAUUGAAUUGUUAUGGGAUUGAAUAUGUUUUCUAUGAAUUACGAUGAAAUAAUUUUAAAUAUGUGUUUUGAGAAAUUGUUGUUAUAAUUAUUAAAUCGUUAACUACGUUAGGUGCAUUUAGUUAUCUCGUUUUGGUUAGGGAGAGUUACCCGUUAGAUGGAACCACCCCUAUGAGAAAUGUCAUCUGUAGGAGGAGAGGGCUAUCAACGCGAUGAAGCUGCCUCUUGAUUCUCAAAAAAAAAAUUUGUACUUGUUGAUUUUUUUAAUGAUAAUUUUAAGGUUGUUCAUUUGGAUUUCAA